CCUACGGGUGUCAGCAGUGAGGAAUAUUGGUCAAUGGGCGGGAGCCUGAACCAGCCAAGUCGCGUGAGGGCAGACGGUCCUAUGGAUUGUAAACCUCUUUAGGCGGGGAGCAAUGCCGGGCACGCGUGCCCGGAGGGAGAGUACCCGCAGAAUAAGCAUCGGCUAACUCCGUGCCAGCAGCCGCGGUAAUACGGGGGAUGCAAGCGUUAUCCGGAUUUAUUGGGUUUAAAGGGUGCGUAGGCUGUGAGGUAGGUCAGCGGGGAAAUGCUCCCGCUCAACGGGGUGAAGUGCCAUUGAUACUGCUUUGCUGGAAUGCGGAUGCGGUAGGAGGAAUGUGUGGUGUAGCGGUGAAAUGCAUAGAGAUCACACAGAACACCGAUUGCGAAGGCAGCUUACGAAUCCGCGAUUGACGCUGAUGCACGAAAGCGUGGGUAUCAAACAGGAUUAGAUACCCGUGUAGUC
RNAcentral lists this ribosomal RNA (462 nucleotides) under uncultured bacterium. Its description in RNAcentral is "partial 16S ribosomal RNA". It matches the Rfam family "Bacterial small subunit ribosomal RNA", at positions 338 to 795 of the family's 1533-position model. The record is from RNAcentral.